This 207-nucleotide long non-coding RNA is filed under the name Ananas comosus (pineapple). RNAcentral's name for it is "long non-coding RNA (ACOM_LNC009104)". Lineage: Eukaryota; Viridiplantae; Streptophyta; Magnoliopsida; Poales; Bromeliaceae. The record is from RNAcentral.
AAAAAGAAAAAAAUAAAAAUAAAAGCAAGAUUAGGGAUAACAGUUUGUAAAGAGAAAAAAUAUGGAGAAGAAAUACCACAGAUUGAAGAGGAAGGAGAGGAAAUCUGAGUUUUGGAGGAGUUUUGGGCGGAUCUGAUGCAGGCUGGGCACAGGAAGUGGGUGACCGGACUGGGAGGAGGAAGAAGAAGAAAAAAAAAAAUGAAAAAG